Molecule: long non-coding RNA, 8094 nt
Organism: Mobula hypostoma (lesser devil ray)
Lineage: Eukaryota; Metazoa; Chordata; Chondrichthyes; Myliobatiformes; Myliobatidae
Exons: 4
Source: RefSeq, a predicted model, not a curated record
UCUACAAAAAAAAUUGCUGCCCGUCUCAAGUUUGCAAAAGACUACCUGGAUGUUCUACAAUGUUCUGUGCACAGAUAAGACUAAAGUUAAACUUCUUGGUAGGAAAGCACAUCGCCAUGUUUGGAGGGAAAGGGCAGUGCACACCAACACCAAAACCUCACCCCAGCUGUAAAGCAUGGUGGCAGGAGCAUCAUGGUUGGGGGCUGUUUUCCUACUUCAGGGCCUGGACAGUUUGCAAUAGUUGAGGGAACAAUGGAUUCAAAAUUGUAUCAUGACAUUUUACAGGAGAAUAUCAGGGUAGCAGUCCAUCACCUGAAGCUUAAUAGAAGCUUAAUGGAUAAUGCAACAAGACUAAUCUGAAAGACAAGAAUAAAUCAUCAACAGAAUAGUUCAAAAGAAAAUCUGUGUUUUGGAAUGGCCAAGUCAAAGUCCCCGAACUUAAGCCUAUAGAGAUGUUGUGGAAGGACCUGAAGCAAGCAGUUCAUGCAAGAAAGCCUACCAACAUCCCAGGGUUGAAGUUAUUACCCUACAAGGGGGUCACACCAGUUACUGAAAGAUGUUCCAGGAUAUAGUGAAGACCCAAUGAGAUUGCAUCUGCUGCGGACCAGUUGCUCCAAUAGGCAAAUUGGAGUGGAUCCAAGUCAUCUCUCAGGCAGGAACUGAUAUAUUUCAUUACCAAGCACUCAAAAUACCUCAUCACUGUGGAUGCAAGUUCUACUUUGUUAGCUCGACGACCAAUCAGGAGGCCCCACACAUCCCAGCGCCGGGAAAGUGAAGGGACGCCACGUAUUCUUUCUACACGUCACAUUGCGAUUGGUCAAUUGCGACGGCGUGGGGCGGGGCGCCGAAUCCUCAGGGCCGCAGCACGGAGCUGAAAGGUGAUAUUCUGUUUCUUAUGGCUGGGAACCGUGUGGUUUCGCAGGCUUUUCAGGAGGAGACCCAGAGAAGAAGGACGUGCUGGAAGCGCUCUGGUCGACCACCGUGGUUGGUCCCGAGCGGUGGGUCGAGGGGGUUGGAAGGGAUCGCAGGGUGAAGAAAAGACCCGUUAUUUGAUCUCCAACCUGUGUACACGAAGAAAUUGAACUAUGAUAAGUCUGGCACCUUUCUCUUUCUCUUUUUAUUGUAUCUCUAUUAAUCUCAUAGUCCCAGUAAGAUUUACAAAUUAUAAUCUGUAAAGUGUACCUUGAGUGCUGUCUGAUAUUUGAUGUGUGAGUUUGUACCAGGUGGCAUUACACAGCAACGACGUAACUGUGUGACACGGCCGGGCGGGUGGAUGGGGUUUUCCCCUAGAUAAACACGAACUGAUAGAGUUGAGCGUUACAUAUAUUCUGCGUUUUUUGCUCUUUUUUUGUUGCUUUUUGCUUGAUUUGCUUUUUUUGCAUAUUGGGGGGGGGACUGAUGGUUUGAUGCUUUCUUUCUUAGAGUGGGUUCGGUGGUUUUCCUUGUUUUGUGGCUCUCUGUGAGGAAGAUGAAUCUUAGAGUUGUAUACUGCCUACAUACCUGAUAAUACAUGUACUUUGAAGUGGGUUAAACUUGUUACACUCAUCACUAUGAAAGCCCAGCAGAGAUUGUUCUUCCUAUGCCAGUUUAGGAAACUGAACAUCUCAGGAAUUAUUGAAUUACUCAGCUAUUAUUCAGAGUGUUAUCACCGCCUCUAUCACCAUUUGGUCUUGCGCUGCCUUCUCCUUCUCCAAGUCCAGUUUGCAAUGAGUGGUCCACUCAACGAAAAAGAUCAAUGACCUUCGAAUGUCCAGUAUACUGCUGAUGUCUUCCUCAGUGAAGACUGAUACAAAAUACUCGUUCAGUUCCUCUGCCAUCUUCUUAUCUCCCAUUACAAUUUCUCCAGCAUCAUUUUCUAUCGGUCCUAUAUCUACUCUAACCUGUCUUUUACCUAAUUCCGAAUGCUAUGCGCGUUUAAAUACAGUAUCUUCAGUCCCGCAUUCUUCAUCCUUUUGAAUUUUUCCUCUUUGUUACAAUUUAACUCUCUGUAACGAGUACAGGCCUCGUUACUAGACCUGUAACGAGGACUAGUCCUCAACCUGCAGUAUUGCCUAUUUGCAGCCACCCAGGGGAGAGGUGUAAUAGUCAGUGCACUCCAGUGGAAGCAGCAUGGUGUAGCGUACCUGCUGGAGUUGGUGUUGCCUCCAGUGUUUGCUCGGCAGAAGGCAAGAUGUAUUGUGUUCAACUAAAGACUGCUGCAACAUUCAUAGACUCAGGGACUUGGACUGUAUUUUUUUGUGUGACUGUAUUUUACUACUGUCUUAUAUGUGCCCUGUGCUGUAUAUGACUGUCAGAACUGUGUUUUGAUCCUUAGCUUCAGAAAAACACUGUUUCAUUUGGCUGUAUUCAUGGAUAUUCAUGUAUCGCUGAUUAACAGUUAAACUUGAGCUUGAACUUGGAUGGGAGGAGCAUGGAGGGCUAUACUCUUAGUGCAAGUUGGUGAGACUAGGAAGCAUAAUAGUUUAUUAUAUACUAUCAUAUAAUAAAUAGUAUAUUUAUUAUAGGAAGGAGGGAGGAGAAGAUGGCGGCACGACGCAGCGCGUGCCACCUCUCCGGUGAAUAAUAUCAUAUUUGUAAGUAGGAUGCUGUGCACAAUUCUGAUUUGAUGGAGACAGACGUGAGAAGCACAGAGGAACAUCUGGAGUAACUUCUGAAAUGCCCGGUUUGCUGCUGCUGCUGCUACUGUGCGAUCGAAAAUCUCCGGAGGGGAAGGCCCCAAAUCCUCAGCUUUGCCUGUUACUGGCGGCCGGGGCUGGGGUCGAAGUACUUGGCAGAGAUGGUGCUCGGUGCUCAGUGUCGGAGGGCUGGUCGGAGGCUCGAAGUUUUCAGACGGACUCGGAGUCGGACUGUGGUCGGGUGCUUCCAGGACGCUGUAUCAGCAAGUUUGCGGCGCUGGAAGCUCAUGGCAGGGAGAGUUUUCUUCCUUCUACCGUCUGCGUGAGAUAAUGGGACUUUCGAGAGACUUUGAGACUUUUUUUUAACCGUGCCCAUGGCCUGUUCUUCAUCAAAUUACGGUAUUGCUUGCACUGUUGUAACUAUAUGUUAUAAUUAUGUGGUUUUUGUCAGUUUUUCAAUCUCGGUCUGUCUUGUGUUUCUGUGAUAUCACAUUGGAGGAACAUUGUAUUAUUUCUUAAUGCAAAGGCAUUACUAAAUGACAAUAAAAGAGGACUGCGUGUCCUCAUAAUCUAAUCUAUAUGGGCCAAAUGGUCGGUUUCUGUCCUGUAGUGCUGUAUGACUCUAGUUCCUAUGCUUCAGGUCAAACCACUAGCCUCUAAACAGGAAGCAAUCAUUAGAAGAGGAGCAGUUAAGUAGAAAAAUCAUAAAGAAGCAUAAAAUCCAUGGGAUUAUAAUGGUAGAAAAUUUCAUUUUCUCCAGAAUUAAAUGGGAUUGCCUUAAAAUAACAUGCCUAGACUGUUAGAGUGAGUAAAUCCAUCCAGGAGGAGCAUAGUCCCACAAUGGAAGAGGAAGCAGUCCUGGACCGGCUCCUUAUUUUUGGAGUGGGGCAUGUUCAAAACUCAAAGAAAAUUUUAUUAUCAGAGUACAUAAUCUCACCAUAUAUAAUCCUGUGAUUCAUCUUCCUGUGGGCAUACCAAACAAAUCUGUAGAAUAGUAACUGUAACAGGAUCAAUGAAAAAUCAACCAGAGUGCAGAAGACAACAAACUGUGCAAAUGCAAAUAUAAAUAAAUUCUAAUAAAUAAUGAGAACAUGAGAUACCAGGAUAAAGAAUCCUUAAAGUGAGAUAGUUGAUUAUGGGUUAGUGCGCAUGCUCCGGUCGUGCAUGCAGCCUGGUACAACCGUUCCAAUCUAUUCUUACUUUCUUCUUAUUACUUUUCAAUUUACGUUAUUUUUUGUUUUUUUUUUCUCACGGUAACGCAUCGAAGCUGCACCCUCUCUAACAUGCUGGUAGAGAGAGUUUUAUUUGGGUUUUCCUUAGCGCUGAAAAUGGUUACAUCCCGACACGCGGGACAGAAACAAGGUCGCAUUGUGUAUUCCACGAACCAGCAAAUACCGACCGGUUUAGCGAGCAGAGCGGUGGACACCUCUGCUGAAAUCCAGAGGAAAACACACAGAGGGAGAUCACAAAGCCGAGGAAAAAGGAACGGGUCGAAACAACAGAGACUUUUGGAGAAGAGGAGUUCAGUGGGUAAUACCGUUCCGGCUGACCGGAGGUGCACUGAGAGCAGUAAGCGUAAAGGAGUUGGGUGCUUACUGAUCUGGUUAACAACAGAUGGUGCAAUCCGGGCAUAUUACGAUCGAGGAACGUGUUUGCAGACUGGAUAUUGAACUUUUUGCUGUUGGACUUUGGCCACAUUCCACCGUGAUACAACACUUGGCGGUACAGGAGGUCGUUCCUGCCUGUGGCCACCAAACGUGCAGCUCCUCCCGUGGAGGGUCAGACACCCUGAACCAAUAGACUGGUCCUGGACUUAUUUUCCAUCUGGCAUAGUUUGCAUUUUGUUGUUUGAUUGUUGGGGCUUUUUGUAUUGCUAUAUUUACGCUCUAUUCUUGGUUGGUGCGGCUGUAACAAAACCAAAUUUCCCUCAGGAUUAAUGAAGUAUAUCUAUCUAUCUAUCUAUCUAUCUAUCAUCUCAAUAGAUGGUCAAGUGAGUGUAGUUGUUCUCUUUCUGUCAUGGUCCAGUCCGUGACGUCUGCAUUCCGGUUCACAGUCUGGUCCAUCGAUCCUUAUUCCGGGUUUUCCUGUUUUCCCUGGUUCCAUUGGGUACCUUAAUUGAGGCACCUGAUUCUCAUUUUGGGCUGGCACAUAAAUACCUCUUCAAACGAAGGAUUUCCUGCUGGACUGUUCCCUUCCCCUCCCCAUCUGAAUCCCUGGCAGUUACUUUGGCAAUUUAUCUCAACAGUUACUUUGUCCGUAACCUUUGUCUGUAACCUCGCCUGUGUCCUCGUCUGAAUUGCCAUCAAGUUCAACUGCCAGAGUGAGACCGGAGCCUUGCCACGCCAAGAUAAGGAACUAUCUAUCGUUGAGUUUGGAACUGUCACUUUAUGUCCCUGUGUUUAGUGUCCAUGUCAAAGAAGAGUCCCGGCCCUAUGUCCUGUUCCCAAGGAGGCGUCCUGACUCUGUGUAGAGCCCCAGCCCUAAGUCUGUUUCCCAAGGAGGGGUCCUGGCUCUGUGUUCUGUGUUCCUGUGCUCAAGUCCAAGGCUCUGUGUUCCUGUGUUCCAAGACCAAGUCCACGCACCAUGUUCCAGCCCUGUCCAAGUCUGAGCUUUGCGUCCUCAUCUGGUGCUGGAUCAUCCCCAUCCGAAUCCUCGGCAGUUUAUCUCGGCAAUUUCCCUUGGCAAGAAUCCUCGGCAGUCAUCCCGGCCCUGCAUCCAAGAAAGGGUCCUGGCCCUGCACUCCAAGGAGGAGUCCUGGCUCCGUACCCAACUGCCUAACCAAGCCGAGUCCAAGAGCCGAGCCAAUCCCAGCCCAGGAGUUCCUCGUGCAGUCCGGGGGAUUCUUUGUCCUGUGCUGGAGUACCUCGUCCUGUCCUUGCCAAGAUCCUAGUCCCAAGUCCUAGCCUAGACCCGGGUUCCGGUUCCGCGUCAAGACCCGGGUUCCGAUUCCUUGUCCAGACUCUGGUUCCGGAGUUCCGAGUUCCUAGUCCAGGCUCCUUGUUCCUAGUUCCACGUCCAGGUCCUGUGCUUCUAGCCCAAGUCCCAGCCCAGGGCCUGAAUCCUAGUCUCGUCCAGGGCCUGUGUCAAUUCCAGCGUAGUUUCUUCCUGACUCUCCUUGCUUUCUUGACAAACCUAGUCCUGUUCCUAGAACUGCAGCAUCUGUGUCUUGCAUUCGGGUCUGCUACCAGUGCGCCCCUUAUAACACUUUCAUUCAAGAGCCUGAUGGUUGUGGGGUAUUAACUGUUCAUGAACUGGGUGGUAUGAGUUCUGAGGCUCUUGUACCUUCUACCUGAUGGCAGCAGCGAGAAAACAGUAUGACCUGAAUGAUGGGGGAUCUCUGAUGAUGGAUGCUGCUUUCCUACGACAGCAUAUGAUGUAGAUGUGCUCAGUGGCUGGAAGGGCCAAAUGAGCUAAAUCCAGUACCUUAUGUAGGAUUUUCCAUCCAAAGGCAUUGGUGUUUCUGUACCAGGCCAUAAUUCAGCCAGUCAAUCCACGCUCCUCCACACAUCCAUAGAAGUUUCUCAAAAUUCCAGAUGUCAUGCCGAAUCUCCACAGUAUCCGAAGAAAGUGGUGGGAGUGUCAGUGGGAGAAUAUUAUACAGAGAGCAGAAAGUUUCAGAAUAGCUAAGAAAAACAAAAACAAGAUGAUUUUAAUAUCAUAAGACAGAUUCUGGCAAAAGUGGAGUGGAUGCAGUCAUCUGCGGGCAAGUUUAGAGAUAACCAUGGAAGUCAGUCAAGGAAUGAUAUAGUCAUUGUUUCGUGCCAGUGGGCUCCCAUAAGGAUAAAGGUCAAGGUCACAGAGUUACAGAAACGUACAGCGCAGAAACAGGCUUGUUGGCCCAUUUAGCCCGUGCUGAACCGUUUAAAUUGCCUACUUCCAUAGACCCGCACCCAGACCAUAGCCCUUCAUACUCCAUCCAUCCAUGUACCUAUCAAUAUUUCUCUUAAAUGUUGAAAUUGAGCUUGCAUGCACCACUUGCACUGGCUGCUUGUUCCACACUCCCACCAACUUCUGACUGCGGAACGUCAACAAGAGACGUCAGGAAACAUUGGGAGUUAGAUAACAUAAAGAUAGCUCAUGACAAGUUUGGAGUAUUGAAUGCAGGAAAGCUCCACGAGAUUAUAGGAAGUGUAGUGGGGUACUCAAGCUGAAUAUCUAAAGGUAGAUAAAUCUACUGGACCAGAUGGAAUGCACCUUCGUGUUCUGAAGGAAGUAGCUGUGGAGAUUGCAGAGGCAUUAGUGAUGAUCUUUCAAAAGUCGAUAGAUUCUGGCAUGGUUCCGGAGGACUGGAAGAUUACAAAUGUCACUCCGCUAUUUAAGAAGGGGGCAAGGAAGCAAAAACGAAAUUAUAGACCUGUUAGCUUGACAUCGGUGGUUGGGAAGUUGUUGGAGUCGAUUGUCAAGGAUGAGGUUACAGAGUACCUGGAGGCAUAUGUAAGUGGGUUUCUUUUUCUCGUCACUGUGUAGUCUAAUUAAAAUGGCUUCUUUGUUAUGUUAUAAUUGAAAGAGCUUCUUUGUUAUGUUAACUGCUGAGAAAGUUCUCCCGCUAACAGUUUGUUUGCAUCAUGUUACUGAUAAGAAAGGUGUUACGAACCAAUUGGGAUAGUUGUUAUGCUUUUAGUGUGUCUGAAGAUAUUGUAUGCGCGGGGUUUUGGCACAGAAGGCGGGAGAGAGAGAAACAGAGGAUGGACCAGGUGCUGCGAGUCCACUAACGGGGUCAGACCCUGAGCGGGGCGUUCGACGAAGAGAGGAGACAGAGCUGGACUCGUGUGGAGCGUCUGGUCGACCACCGUCGUUGGUCCCAGUUGGCCGGUCGAGGACGUCUGAGGGGUUGCAGGGUGAAGAAGAAGGGUCCUGAGCUCCAACUGUUUGUGCACGAAGAGAUAGAACUUUGAUAAGUGUGGUGCCUUUUAUUUUCCUUUUACAUUUUAUUCUCUAUUAAUUAUAUAGUUCCAGUAAUAUCUAUAAACUGUAAAUCAUUUAAUCAUAUCUGGUGUAUUGUCUGUUAUUUGGUCGGGGUGGGGUACAUCACACAGUAUCCACACAAAGUGAUUACCCAGUUUGCCGGGGCUGAGGGCUGUUUCCCUAGAUGACAGCGAGCCGAGCGACCCUGAGGCUUGGCCGGGGGGCUACAUAUAUGACAAGAUAGGCAGAACUCAGCAUGGAUUCCUUAAAGGAAAAUCCUGCCUGACAAACCUAUUACAAUUUUUUGAGGAAAUUACAAGUAGGCUAGACAAGGGAGAUGUAGUGGGUGUUGUAUAUUUGGAUUUUCAGAAGGCUUUUGAUAAGGUGCCACAUAUGAGGCUACUUAACAAGAUAAAAGCCCAUGGAAUUACGGGAAAGUUGCAUUUGUGGAUAGAGCAUUGCUGAUUGGCAGGAUACAGAGAGUGGGAGUAAAGGGAUCCUAUUCUGGUUGGCUGCCGGUCACCAGUGGUUUUCCACAGGGGUCCGUGUUGGGGCCGCUUCUUUUUAUAUUGUA